CUUAAACCUAAAAUUAUUUCCGUCUCUCUUCCUCUCGGUGUUCUCCUAUCGAACCCCUAACUGGCGUUCUCUCUUUUUCUUCGUUGAUUUACCUUCAGGUGCGAUUUUUCUUUGAUAAACAAAUAAGCCCAUUUUGUGUGUAAACCCGAACCCUAAGGUGCAUCAAGGUUCUUUUGCCCACACUACAGACUGGAGGUACAACCAGAUGCGAAUAAGUUGAGAUCAGUGUGGUUCUUAUCUAAGUUUUGUGCAUCAAGGCGUUUGGAUUGUGAUCUCGAUCCCUUUUCUUUUGCGGGAAGAGAAACCAAGAAGUGCAUGUUGCUAGGUAAGCCAUUUAACAAUAGGGAUUAUAUGGUGCAGAAGAAGGCGGAUUUGAAAAGAACGCCAAUUAGGAAAGAAGGCUGCCACAAAGUCAAAUACUCGGAUUAAUGCGCGGAUGUUCAAUGAAUAUGGUUUUAGAGUCGAGGAAAGCUCACAGCAGAACUUUGUAAACAGGUUAAGUAUGAGGUAUUAUUGUCAGGGUUGAGUCCAGGAUAUGCAUGGGGUGAUGUCUCUACUUGAAGGUUUUUCGUAUUUAAAUUUGCCUCCUACCUUAGCUACUCCUAACAUUCAUACUCUAGGGUCUGUAGUGUAAAUUUCGAGAAUGACUGGGACCAUGAAAAAGAACUGGAAGUUGGGAAAAAAAAGGAAGUGGUUGGACCAAAUAUUUACAAGUUUAGCUUUGGAUGAGUAUUGGUGAGUUUUAAUUAAUUAAAUGGGUUUUGUUGUUAUGACAUUGGUAGUUAAUUGAAAGCAAGAAGGUCGAAACUUGGUAAGAGUAUUGGAUGACAACAGUUUAAUUAUUGUCAGUAAUUAUGUACUUCCUUUUCGUUGUUCGGUACUUACUCAUGCUCUUCUGAGUAAUAAGUCUUUCUUCAUUGCAGGAUAGGAUGAGAGUCACAGUUACUAAAUUAAUUAUAUCAACAUUUGACCCUAAAUCUGCUGAAUGGAGUGUGAUGGUUAGCUACCCAUUGCAUGUCUCUCUAUUGGUUUAGGAAAUGUAUGGGUUUGUGAUUUACUUCUAUUGAACCCCUAAGAUACGACUUUUGAAACUGUCUUGCGUUUACAAAUCAAAACAGGAACUCCCUGCAGAAGUGGACAAUUACCCAAGUAUAAUCAGGUGAUGCUUUUUCUGUUCUUGAUUUUUCGUUAGCUUACUUAGCAAGGAUAAUCAUGACACCUUGGAAUUUUAGACCACUAUUUGUGGCGCUACAUCAGGGCAAGCUACAAAAUUUUUGUUGUCAUUCUCAGAACAAUGAUGGGCUGCAGACAUAUAAUAGGAUAACUUUUUCGUUAGCUACCACUUCUUGGAGAGGGUCUUUUAGUUCCGAUUGUUUAUGGCCUUAUUCUUACUUACUAAUUUAGUUUUCUCAUUUGAAAUAACAAUCUUGGUUUUUUACCAGUCGAUCACCAGUUCGCCGCUCAUCUAAUAGCUUCUCACCAGUUCACUGCUCAACUGUUUUCCGUACACGUUCCAAUGCUGGCAGCUCACCUGUUCAGCUGUUCUUCUAGCUACUGUUUUCUGUUCCAGUUAUAGUCAUUCACCUGUUAGUCACUUUCUAGAUGGUCGUUUUACAAAUGACCGCUCCCCUGAUUGAAGAUCAAGGACUUGAAUAUUGGGUUGGAGGGUUACUGGGUUAUCUAUAAAUUAGUUAUUAGUUUUGACUUUUAUAUUGUUAAUGUGACAGUUGCAUGUCAGAAUAAAAAGGACUGGAUGCUUACAUUUUGAAGCGAAUUAAA
This is a long non-coding RNA of Papaver somniferum (opium poppy), 1779 nucleotides long. RefSeq lists it as uncharacterized. Lineage: Eukaryota; Viridiplantae; Streptophyta; Magnoliopsida; Ranunculales; Papaveraceae. The record is from RefSeq and is a predicted model, not a curated record. The transcript has 7 exons.